Long non-coding RNA from Meriones unguiculatus (Mongolian gerbil), 11475 nucleotides. RefSeq lists it as uncharacterized. The transcript is spliced from 11 exons. The record is from RefSeq and is a predicted model, not a curated record. NCBI's taxonomy places the organism in Eukaryota, Metazoa, Chordata, Mammalia, Rodentia, Muridae.
AGGGAGAGAGUAGACAAGGACAAAGAGCAGCAGAAAACAGUGAGGUUGGUAAGAAGGGAGAGACAGAAACCAACCACUAAAGAACGACUCCUUGACAACCUCCAAAUCACAAUGAGGAGAAACUUCCUGGCUCACAUUUUCCACAUAAACACUAGAGUGCUGGGCAAUGUUAAUGGGUCCUGCCUGAUGCACACGAGAACGACCUCUGUCCAAAGCCAGCAGCGAUUGACGUCACAGACAGAGCGUCUCGGGUAAUGUACUCCGCUCCUCUCAUUUAUAUGUUUGACCCUAACCUUCCCCAGAUGUGCAACUGUUCUUCCUUCCAAAAAAGGGAGUUUCAACACUGGCCAUUGUGUGCUCUCUGAAGCCGGCCCUGCAGCCCAAACAAAGGUCCACGUUCCCGAGUCUCAGAGCCAGGUUGUGUGCUGCGGUCUCUCCAGGCGGCUUAGUGUCCCCUCUAGAGACAUGGAUAAUGGGGUUUCUGUCUUGAUGUACAGCUGUCUCAUGCCUGGCUUCUGGCCGGCUGCCUCUCUUUGGCCACAGAGGCAAAAGAAGGCCUUUGUGAUCCUCUCUGCUCCAACUCCUCCUCCUGUCCUGCCUCCAAUCCCUCCUCCCCUCCUGCCUGCUCUCCCUCCAUUCUUGGAUUCAUUUAGUUCACAUCAUUUGCAGUCAUAGGGAUACUUCUGUGUGACUCACUGCCUGAGUUUUUGCUUUCUCUAUUCAGGCAUCCUGCUCCUGUUCACUCAGCUGGGUAGACACCAUCCUCAUUGGCUUCUAAAGUUUCCUCACAUCUAGGCCUUUUUUGACUUUUGGCCCUGCAGCUUCCCCGUGGACUUGCUUACUUUCCUGUCCCUCCUGUGCCCAGUGCUAUAGACCCCAUCCACUGAUCUAUUUACUUUUCUCUUUCUGCUUUGUGUUUCACUUUGUCACUCAGCGGGGUCUCCCCCUCUAACUUGACUGUGUGUCCUCUGAACCUCCAGCCUGAAGCUCUGAGCUGGAUAUUGAAAAUGUAUUCAGUAAAGGUUUGUUGAAUGAGUUAAUCAUGAUGGUGUAGGAAAUGGGAUGGUGAUGUGAAAGGAGGUGUGCAUCUUGGUGGCGUUGGAAGAGCCCGUGGCAAGAAGAGAGCAAGGCCUCCUUCAGCUGAUGAAGAACAGCUUGGUUUCUAGACGACGUGUGUCUGCAGCCUGCAGUGCAGCUUGCUCCAAGGGCCCACGAUGUCCAACGAGUGUCCUCUGUUUUGCAGAAAAGCAGAGGACUGUGGUGAGUUCGGCUCUAAGCUGACCUCUCUGCUCGCCCCGUGGAAAUCACGUGUCCUCAUCCCUCUGUGCUUAACAACCUGUCUUUGCACAAACCUAAGUCCAUCGGCAGGACUUUUCUCUGGGAGGAAGGACACAUGUCUAAGAAAGCGGUGCCCAGAUCCUGGAUAGACUGUUGUGUGGUUUUCUGAGAGCACGUACUGGUGUUGCAGCAAAAUCUCCAAGCCAGAAGCAAAAAAAUAAAAAAGGCCAAGGAAGUGCUUGUAGCCUGUGAUCUGGUCCUUCCAUCUAUCAUAUACCCUCCUCCUUCUCUGGCUCCUCAAGGAAGCUUAAAGGAAGCAGUGAAAAUGCUACCAUGACAUCAUCACUUCAAAUGGCUAGAGUUCCUGUACUCAUGGAGAAGAAGAUGCUGUCCCUUGUUGACUUCAGGAAAUCAGAAAGCUAACUGCCACCACCCCACCUCCCCGCCCCCAGUUGAGACGGCUAUGUGCUCUGGACAACACACGAGGAUGCUUAUGAAUCUGACCUAGUGAACAUGGAAAACAAAGGGCUCCUGAGAAACACUUUUUUUUUUCAGACUGUCAGCCUAAGCGUUGCCUUUGUUUCAAAACUGCCACAAUUCAACAAUGUGUUUUGACAGCAUUUGUUGUGAUUUUUUUUUAACAGAGACUCACCGGAAGAAUCAUACUAAGGAAAUCUCCUUCUCCUCCUCCGAUCUGUUUAUAAAAUGAGGUUAGGAGAUGUGCUGGUUAGUUUUAGCUGUCAGACUGACACAGCCUAGAAUCUCCUGCAAUAAGCUUUUUUUUUUUAAUUGACAAUAAUGUUUUUUAUUAUUUGAGAAUUUUAUGCAUGAAUGUAGUGUAUUUUGAUCAAAUCCACACAUGCCCUCCCCGGUCCCCUCUCCUUCUGUUCCUCUCCUUUCCUUCCCACCACUCACCACAACAAAUCCGCUUCCUGCCACCUGUAUGUGCAUGGGGAGAGAUCCAUUUACUAAGGCACAAGUCCCUUCUCAGGCUCUACAUCCUGGAAGAAAAUGGACUCUCCCUCCCCUAGUAAGCAUCAAUUGCCAAUGGGUCGUCAGCUAGGGCUGGGACUCCAUGAGGCCCCUGCCGACCCAUGCUGGGGUUUUUGCUGCCUUGAUUUUGUGUUGGUCUUGUGCAUGCAUUCUUAGUCACUGUGAGUUCUUGUGUGCAGCUCUGCAGUUAUGUACAACAAAAACCUUUUCACUGCAGGAACCUUUUCACCAACUCCUUGUUCAGUGAUCUCUGGGGCCUUAGGAGGGGAGUGAUAUAGAGGUCCCAUUUUGAGUUGUGUACUCACAGCCAUAUUCUCUGCCCAUUGAACAGAUAUAGGUCUUUGUUAUUAUUCACAAUCUAUUGCAAAAAGAAGAUUCUCUGGUGAGGUAUGACAAAUGCACCAAUCUGUGGUAUAAAGUAAGACACAAUGGGCAGUUUAUUACAAUGUUUAUUUAAUAUUAGGUCCUCUCCUAGAACCUUUGUCAUAGCCAUGGUGUUUUGUUUGUUUGUUUUCUUUUUGCUGUUGUUUUUUGUUUAUUUGUUUUGUUUUAUUGUGACCUAGUUAAAGGUAGCAGGCAUGAGUUCUGUCUUAUAGAAUGGGUUUAAAUCCAGAGAGUAGGUGGUUGCCUCCAUUCUCCACAGGCCACCAUUGUACAGACGGCAUAUGCUGUCAAGCCAAAGUGUGCACAGAACCUUGAGAACAACACUUCUUUCUUAGGUGCUUAUUCUGUGAGAGCCAAGGCCCAGAUAAUGCCAGACCUCACAAUGAGAGAAGUUUCAGUAGUUUAUGCUCUUUAAAGCUCACUAAAAUUACAUAUAAAUCUCAUGUUUAUAUGAAAACUGAUGCUUAGAACUACAACACAGUGUUUCAACUCCAAAAAGCCUUUUAUGACAAGACAUUAUUUAAUGUCGUUCUAAAGAAGAAAAGGCAUGUUCUAUUACGGUACGAUAUACCAUAGAUUUCGUGACAGCGUGUCACUGCCUUAGAUGUUUAAAAUGUGAGAAAAAAAAUGUAUAUUAACGUAGAAUAAAUGCCUUGUAUACCUACUAGAUGUUAAUUAGAACUCAGGAUCUAGUUUGUUUGAUCAUUUUGUGUUUCUGAUAACCUUGUGGUUUUUGUUCAAAUGCUAAAUGGCCAGUGAAAUAUAUAUCUAAGUGGAAACUCCGGUAGAUAUUUGUUUAUUAACUCAGUUUCCAAGUCCAGCUUGAAAAGUGAUAUUUGAAGGACAUCUGCUCCAUUUUCCCAUUACAAAUGGCCCAGAAACACUGUCUUUAGCUCAAUCUCUUUGGCAAGUCACCACACAUCCCUGACCUGGGGUCACAUGUUCUGGUGGGAAUGGGAGCUGUAUCAUUGGGUGUGAAGUUUGAAAAUGUCUUCUUGGACACAGAUCUUCCACAUGAACUCCUGAUCCUUCAUUGUCCCACCCUGGACCACACACAUCCCGGCUGGAAGCCUCUUCCACAACCAGCUCACCGUCUGGAGGCAAUGGUGUCAUCUCUCUUGGCAUCCAUCUAUGGAUCUCCUGUUGGUGAUCCAGAACUUCUCAGACUUCUCCAUGUGGUGUUGCUCCUUCAUUCAUUCUGAGAGGCCAAGACGCAGUCUUCAGACUGAUGGGGGAAGCUUGCGGAAUAGUAACAGUUGCUGCAAGGGAACCGGGUCCACAGACUUGCUUGAGGAGAGGCCGCCAGUAGCUGUGGGUGGAGCUGGCCAAGCAUCUGCUCACUUGCAAGACCUCACCUGGAUGGAUUUCGUCAGUCAAUGAGAUCUGAGAGGCUGCAGGUGUUAGGUCACAGCAGGAAUCUGAGGUCCUUCAGGAACUCUUACAGAUGUUGUCAGUGACCAUUUAGGUUCUUUCCACUAUAGUAAUUCUGGUUGACAAUAGCCAGCCAACUUCUAUGAAUAGAGACCUAACUGAUCUUUGAAAGGACAUCAAAAUCGGUAGAAUGCACUCCCCGUCUCACUCAAGUCCAGGCUUUUACAUACUGUUUCCACAUUAGAUUUCUUUUACUCGUAAAAGCAUUUAUCACUAAAUCUGUACUCACAGCUCAAACAACUGAUGCAGCAAAAAUGCUACCACUGUGGCUGAAGAGAGAGCUCAAAGGUAAAGAAUACUGGCUGUUAUUUCAGAGGACCCAGGUUCAAUUCCCAGCACCCACAUGGCAGUUCACAACCAUCUGUAACUCCAGUUUCAGGGUAUCAGAUGCCCUCUUCUGUCUAUCACAGGCACCAGGUACACAUGUGUCACACAGACACACAGACAAGCAAAACACCCAUACACAUAAAAUAAAAUAAACAUGUUUAACCAAAGACAGAAAAUUCUACCCCUGAGAAGCAAAUGAAGCCAAGGGUCAUAUCUUGCCCUUGGAAUGAGGGUGGAUAAAGAGAAUCUGUCUUCCCAGCUAGCAACCGGAGAAAGAACUGAUGACCUGGAUUGUGUUCAGCUCCAAGGAAAUCUGGACGACAAGGAAAGACUUUUGUACAUCCCAGAGCACAAGCCUGCCCAUAUGAUAAACAUAAAGAGAACAUUAAACAGAGAGUAGAUCAUUGUGGCUGGGUCCAUUGGGUCAUGAAUCAUAAUCUUUCUGGCCCACACAUUUCCACCCCCACAUCUUCUGGAUGAAUUUAAGCAAAAUUAUAUUAGGAUUGUCUAUAUCUUUUUCCCUCUUUGGUUCCUCACAUUACAUUAACCAUAAACGGUUUAUCUAUAGUUGUUUUUAAAAAGCUUUUAUUUUUUUUUAAAAAAGUGGCUAUAAUUUAUAUUAAUAGUAUGGUUGUGGGCAUUUUAAUAAUUUUCAUUUUUAUUAUAUAAAAUACAUUAAGAUAUAUGCAUAAAUAUUGAUCAUAGACCAACUAGAAAUAGAAACAGUUUUAAUUAUUUUUGGUGAAAUCCCACAUGGAUUUAACCACUGUAUGUGUAUUAAGACAGAGAGACUGUUCUCAGCUGGGGACCCCAGCUGUCCCCCAGGGAACAUUGGCAAUGUCUGGAGACUUUGUCUUUUGUUUUUUUUUUUGUUGUUGUUUUGUUUUUUUGUUUUGUUUUUUGAGAUCAGAGUCUCACUAUGCAGCCUAGGUUGCAACCCUAGGUUGGAACCCAACCUAGGGUUCCAGCCUAGGUCUGGAACCCAAGCUGCUGUUAGACAAAUGGGCUCCUGCAGUCGCCCUGCAUUGGCUUCCUCAGUGGCUGGCCCUACGGUAUGUGGCAUCACACCUGGCUUGGAGACAUUAUUUUUUUAAUUGUUAUGUCUCAGAAGGAGAUAUCUAAUGGCUUCUAAUAGAGAUAGAAACCUCAGAUAUCACUAAAUAGUCUAUUCUGCACAGAGAGACCCCUAUAACAAAGAGUUUCUCAGCCCAAAUUAGCCCUGCUGUAGAACUUUCCAGACACUUUCAUGCAAAUACCCCCAAAUGGAGGUCAUGUUGACUUGUUCUGUCUAAUAAAAGAUGUUUAAUGAACUAUCUUAUUUUAACUAAUUAUUACAUUUUGAUGUACCAGUCAUAUUUAUAGCAGAAUUUAACAGCAUGGUGAGAAUUAUUUUCUCUGUACAUGAUGCUUUAAUUUUGUAAUAGCAAAAACAGUAACUGAAAAUUGCAGAUAUUAAGAGUUCUUCAUAAGCCAAGCAUGGUGGCUAUGCCUGUAAUUCCAGCACUUGGAAGGUAGAGAUGUGAGAUCAGAGUUCAAGGCUAGCCUUAGCUACAUACAUUUGAAGCUAGUUUUGGCUAUAUGAGGUUUUUUAGUAAGUAAGGGGAAGAAGUCCUUCAAAGAUUCUGUAAGGACUCAGUUUGACCUGUCUGCAGCAAUUCUGAGCUGUAACUGUCAUUACUGCCUGGAGUUUACCCAGUUGGUUUUACCAUGAAGUUUCCCAUAUAUACUUUCCCAUAUACCGUGAAGAAGCACACCAAAGAAGAAGGAGUAAGAGAAGGAGGAGGAGGAAGAAAGUCCCACCUAGAUAACCUUGGCUAUGUCAUUAGCCAGAGUGAGCCCUGGUUGCCUUAAUCUGUACCACAAAGAUCAUGCUGAAGAUUAUGUAUGGAAUUAUCAAGGCAACUGGACCCUACAGAUCUCCGUGACUAAGGGAAGAGGUUGUCAGCUUCUUUUCAAAGGUACCCGUGGAUGAGGAUGUGCUGAUGAUCCUUGCUGGAAUUCUAGGAGACCGAUCAUCAGCUUCAAGGGAUGGCGUCCUUCAAACAUGACAUUCACAUUAUCUUUCAGGAUAUUUAUAGCGUGGAACUGCUCACAUUCAGAGACCCAUUACCUGAGACUGGCCAGCCAUGUCCUUCUGUACCAUACAGAAUAAAGACACUGAGGAUCCAAGAUUUUUUCGAUAGUAGAAGUGAAGAUUUUUCGAGUGGUAUAGAGAAAACUCUCGAGUGAGUUUUAAAAUUAUGCUGUCGUCUUUGAAGAACAAACAAGGACAUGCAUGAUGAAGAAGAAGAGCAACAGGCACGGUGUGAGUUAUGAGGCUCAACACUGAACACGAGAUGCUCAGUGGAAUGUUUUCGUUGACAGGCUCAAGACGAUGAUAAAGGAAAGGGAGCAAAGGGCACCGAAGUGUUUGCCCAACAAAGGCAUUCCAGACUGACCGGGAAGGAGGGGAGGAAAGAGGUAACAAUGAUUCUCUGCAAAGGAAUGGAUUAAAAUUGGGACAAGAGAUAGCCUGCUGAUAGCUAGCUAAGUCUUUGCUCUCUCCAGAACUCUAGGACAAGUGGAACAAAAAGAAGGGCAAGGAUGGAAUUCUCGGUGGAUAAACAUGGUAGGGGUCAGAUCCCAGAGCUCCAGAUGUAAAAACUAUGACAAAGUGAAACCGUUUCUUGUGUUUGCUGGUUUCUCUGAGUGUGGAACACUUCUGAGGGGCUGUCAGUGCAGUUUGAAGCAUGGAAUUUACUGCUGAAGGGGAAAGACAUGAACAAGCUAGAUAUUGUAGGAAGGCUACAGGUGAUUGUACACACACACACAUGCACACACGCACACACACACACACACACUGUCUAGCAGAAAUGAAGAUAUUCUAACUUAAACCUCUCAGUCUUUCAGACUGUUGUGAACAAUGAACCUCAAAUAAAUGGGGAUUUCCCCGGAAAUCUCAUGCCUGGAAAAGGAAAAGCCACGAGCCAGAGGGAGGGAGAACUCGUCUCCUUGAAAGAUAUUCCAAACAGUUUUAACAGCUGGUCAGACCACUUUACAGGAUGACACUGAAACCCAGAUAACCAUGCAUCAGUGCAUGGGCCUUGACUUGACUGGAAUUGCUCAGAUGGACUUUACCUCAGCCUUUGCUUAAACCUCAACCUCACCUUUUAGAAGCCCCAAAGACAUUCCUGUGGGACUUGCUGGGUUUCUUUGUCCCUCUUGCCAAUGUGGCCACAUAGAAUAAUCCUCGUUUUUCUUCUUUUUUAAUUGGCUUUUUGAGGACAGGUAGCUGAGCCUGACUUGGGGCAUACAUGGUAAACACCAUAACAAAUUCACAGACUUAAAAUAAUGCAAAUGUACUACAGUUCUGGAGCUCAGAAGCCCUCGGUGGGUCAUCUCAACCUGUGUUCUUGCUCUUCCACAUUCCUUGGCUUGUGUCCUCACAGUACUUCUCUACUCCUAUUUUCACACCCGCACUGACUCUGACCUCCUGACUUGCUUUGACAAAGAGCUUAUUGGUACAAGGGGGACACCAUGUCACUCACAGUCAUUCAGCAUCUCAGUGUAGUCGGCCAAAGUGCACGUUCAAAUUCGCUCUUCCCAUCUAAGCUGACACACCGACUGUGCCAGGGAUCAGGGUGUGGACUUGGGUUUGCGGUGGGCACAUCAUUGUAUCUACCACAGUUUACUGAUACAACAAUUUGCUACGAAUGAAGCGGUUCAAAGUGAUACACAUAUAUUAUUUUAUAAGCUAAUCAAAAGUGGGCUUUACUGGACAAGAACUAUGUUGUCAGAGAUGCAUUACUUCAGAAGGUUCUCAGGGACAAUUGUGUUCAUUGCCUUCAUAAAAAAAAAAUCAUUUUGAGGGGUAGCUUCUUUUUUUAUUUUAUUUUUUAGCAUGAAGACCUUCGGUCUUGGUAAAUGCCACUCUCGCCUUUUCAUAUUAAUAUCAAUUCUUCUCUAUCACUCUUUCACUCAUAUAGAUCCUGGACAUUUGAAAUUCGACUGAUUAGCAAUGUUAAUUACAUUCUUCUUUGCCAGAGGAAUGGAUACAUCCACGGGUUCCCAGGGUCAGGACCUGGGCAUUUUGUGGGGGACGUUCAUUAUUUUGGCUAUGUUAUCAUGCUCACACUUCAGAUUCAGCCUGUAAGCCAUGCCUCCCUUUAUUAUACAGGCACUCAAGGUCUAAAGAAUAAACAUUUACUGAAUUAACCCAAGUGGCUUUGAAAAUUGAAACAAAAAAAUUAUGAAAAGAGGCAAUUCAAUAGAUAGAAAACGGAAAGUAUGGAUGCACCACUGCCACCACUACCACCACCAAAACAUCUAACAUUUGGAGCAAAGAAAAGAGAAGAAGUAAAAGAAAAACCAGCCACCCAGAGAGUGGAGCUACGGUUGUAGAAAAAAAUGCAUUCUAUGGCCACCUACUUUGGUGAAAUACAUCCUGAGGACCUUUACCCAUGACAGAAGAGGCUGGCAUUCUGCUCCCUCCACUGUGAACAUAGAAAGCAAACAAAUGCAAAGUUUGGAAUCAGGGUAAGAACUUUCCAUUCCUUCUACUAAUGGUGUCAAGCUUGAUACUGCUGAAAAGGGACCACAAUUUCCAUGUAGGCAUCUCUAUGGGGGGAAAAUGUAAUCCACUGGAGGACAAAGAUUUUUAAAGGGAGACAGACUGACACUGGGUGAAAAAGAAGAUGAAUUUACAAAGCUGCAAAAGCAAAUCCUGAACUCUGUCCUCACAUCCUGAAUGGCAUCCUCAUAGUUAUCUUCAGCCUAUUUAUCGACAAUGUCAAACAGAGAUCAAACAGGAGGUCAGAAAAAUAAAUUCUCUGGGAGCCUCAAGUUUCAGGAGACUAUAAGUCACUACACUUAUUUUUUGUAGGCUUUCAUCAGUAUUAGCUGGCUGAAAAUAGCAGCUGCAAAAUUUGGGAAUGCUCAACAGAGUCCUGGGCAGCACUGAUGCUCGUGGCUAAGACUUGGGACCCACAUUCAAUCCCCUGAACCCUCAUGGUGGAUCAAAGAACAACUAAUUCUAUCAAGCUGUCCUCUGACUUCCAUACACAAUGCCAGAGUGUGGGUGUGCACUUGUGUCACGCACACACACAUGCACACACACUGAAUAAUUAAUUAAAAAUAAUGCCAGGUUUCUAACUGACUGGGAGAAGGUGAGAAUUCAGUGUUAAGACAAACACCUGUCAACACAAAAAAGCAUGAAGAAAAAAAUAAUAACUUUACCCAGUCAGGAAGUUAUUGAGCAAAAUUCAUGGCUGCACAAUUGUCAUGCCUCCCGAAGAGACAAGAAUGCUAACAAACUACAGAUGUGUGUCUAAAAUGAUGAAGCUGCUUUGGAAGGCAGGCUGGUAGUCUCUCAAAUGGUGACACAUGGAAUUGCUCUAUGACACAUUAAUUCCAAUGCUAUACAUAAUGGAGUAAAAGCACAUAUCCAUCCAAAAAAAAGUGAAUAUAGCAGAAUUAUUCAUAAUAUCCAAAUGACAGAAGUUAUUUUUUAUGUCCAAAAACGACUUAUGGGUAAAUGAUACUGUGUCUUUAUAGUAAGAUGUUAUCCAGACAUAAAAAGAAACGGGAUACUGAUGCAUGUAUAGAUACAUGUGUACCUGCAUAUAACAAGACAGAUCAGCUGUUAUCACCCUGAGGCUUUCGGAGUUAGAUGACCCUUUCACAGGGGUCACCUUUCGGAGUUAGAUGACCCUUUCACAGGGGUCACCUAAGACCAUCAGAAAGCAGAUAUUUAUUUUAUGAUUCAUAACAGUAGCACAUUUGCAGUUAUGAAGCAGCAAUGAAAAUAAUGUUAUGGUUGGGGGGGUCACGAGAACAUGAGGAACUGUAUUAAAAGUUCGCAGCAUUUGGGAAGGUUGAGGACCACUGAUAUAGAUGAAGCUUGAAAAAUAUUGUGGGAAGUGAAAGAAAUUAGUCAUGGAAGGCAGAAACAAAAAUCCCAGAAAGCUUGUGAGCCCGGGGCACCCAACAACAAAUGCCUUCUCACUGGCUGUGGAGGCCAAAGAUUGAUAUUGUAUUCUUCCUUGAUAUACUGUCUGCUGAGUAUGUUGAGGUAGGAUCUCUUGAUGAACAUAGAACUCACUCCCAGUGUUACUAUUCCAGCUAGCCAGUCUUCUCCAGGCAUCCCUCAUCCCCAUCUCUCAAGAACUGGAAUUACAGAUGGGCAAACAUGGCCACCUGACAUUUACAUGAGUACUGGGGUAUCCAAACUCCAGGCAUCAUGCUUGCACAGCAAGUGCUUUAUCCACUAUAUCAUCGCUCCAGUCCCAAGAUCUUAUUAAUUAAAAACAAAAUGCAGUCUGUGGCUUUCUUUUACUGGAAUCAGUAGCUUGUGUCUAUAGCCCUAGCGAGGCUAUGGAAAUAUGGAUUGCAGAGACAAAAGGAUUCUAGGAAGCAAGCGCGCCAGCUACCUUGGCAUGUGCACUGGCAAAUAACAGGAGAGUCAUUCUCAAACAAGGGAGAAAAAGGUAAUAACAGACACUCAGAAUUGUUCUCUAUAUGCACACCAUGCUAUGUGUGAACUCUUACACACACCAUAUUCACACACACACAGCAUAGUCACACAAUACACAAAAUAAAAAGAGCACCAUUACUAUAAUGUUGUUAAUUAUCACUUUCAUUGUAUAUAUGUUUCCUGAAAGCUUCUAUGUUUUGGACUGAGGCUAAAACAAUAAACAAAAUGGAGGUAGAGAGAACUGGCAUUUCCUUUCUGUGUCCAAUGGAUGUCAUCAACAAACUAAUAAAGCAGAAGCACAUUUACCCAGGGUUGUCAAGCUUAGUGCAUUCAGGAUGAACCAGACACGUUGGUGUAUGGUUCAGGACUGACUUUCAGAGAGUGCCCAUCAGUUUGCUCCCAAGAGGAAGGCACAACAAUUGAAGAUAGUGCUCCAUGGGAAUUACACAAUUCAUGGAUUGUUUCUAAGCCAAGGGCAGGAAGCAAUGUUCCAAACAAACAAACAAACAAACAAAAUUAUCUCAACUAGAUGAAGAGAAACCAUAGUGCACAAAGCUAGCAGGGCUUCUCCAGAGUUGAAGUUCUUACUCUGUGAACUUCGGCAACUUUGC